GCCUGGGUGGCUCAGUCGGUAGAGCGUGAGACUCUUGAUCUCUGGGUCAUGAGUUCGAGCCUCAUGUUGGGCA
Zalophus californianus (California sea lion) is the source of this 73-nucleotide non-coding RNA. The record is from the annotation of a RefSeq genome assembly. NCBI's taxonomy places the organism in Eukaryota, Metazoa, Chordata, Mammalia, Carnivora, Otariidae.